CCUACGGGUGGCUGCAGUGGGGAAUAUUGCGCAAUGGGGGAAACCCUGACGCAGCAACGCCGCGUGAGUGACGAAGGCCUUCGGGUCGUAAAGCUCUGUCGGAGGGGAAGAAACUAUCUAUGGCUAACAUCCAUAGGUAUUGACGGUACCCUCAAAGGAAGCACCGGCUAACUCCGUGCCAGCAGCCGCGGUAAUACGGAGGGUGCAAGCGUUGUUCGGGAUUGUUGGGCGUAAAGCGCGUGUAGGCGGCGAAAGCCCUGGGCUUAACCGAGGAAGUGCGCCUGAAACUGAUUGGCUUGAGUACGGGAGAGGAGAGCGGAAUUCCCAGUGUAGAGGUGAAAUUCGUAGAUAUUGGGAGGAACACCGGUGGCGAAAGCGGUUCUCUGGAUCGAUACUGACGCUAAGACGCGAAAGCGUGGGGAGCAAACAGGAUUAGAUACCCCGGUAGUC
RNAcentral lists this ribosomal RNA (450 nucleotides) under uncultured bacterium. RNAcentral's name for it is "partial 16S ribosomal RNA". It matches the Rfam family "Bacterial small subunit ribosomal RNA", at positions 338 to 795 of the family's 1533-position model. The record is from RNAcentral.